Triticum aestivum (bread wheat) is the source of this 100-nucleotide non-coding RNA. Lineage: Eukaryota; Viridiplantae; Streptophyta; Magnoliopsida; Poales; Poaceae. The record is from Rfam.
UUCAUACUCCCUCCGUCCCAAAAUUCUUGUCUUAGAUUUGUCUAGAUACAGAUGUAAUACAAAAUCUAAGACAAGAAUUUUGGGACGGAGAGAGUAUUUC